ACGUAAUAGAUACCCUGGUAGUCCACGCCCUAAACGAUGUCUACUAGUUGUUGGUGGAGUAAAAUCCAUGAGUAAACGCAGCUAAACGCGUGAAGUAGACCGCCUGGGGAGUACGGUCGCAAGAUUAAAACUCAAGGAAUUGACGGGGGCCCGCACAAGCGGUGGAUUAUGUGGAUUAAAUUCGAUGCAACGCGAAAAACCUUACCUGGCCUUGACAUGCCACUAACGAAGCAGAGAUGCAUUAGGUGCCCGUAAGGGAAAGUGGACACAGGUGCUGCAUGGCUGUCGUCAGCUCGUGUCGUGAGAUGUUGGGUUAAAGUCCCGCAACGAGCGCAACCCUUGCCAUUAAUUGCCAUCAUUUAGUUGGGCACUUUAAUGGGACUGCCGGUGACAAACCGGAGGAAGGUGGGGAUGGCGUCAAGUCCUCAUGGCCCUUAUGGCCAGGGCGUUCACACGUAAUACAAUGGUCGGUACAGAGAGUUGCCAACCCGCGAGGGGAGCUAAUCUCAGAAAGCCGAUCGUAGUCCGGAUUGUUCU
Molecule: ribosomal RNA, 537 nt
Filed under: uncultured bacterium
Lineage: Bacteria
Description: bacterial SSU rRNA
Rfam family: Bacterial small subunit ribosomal RNA
Source: RNAcentral